GGUCCAGUAGCAUAAUGGUAAUGCGUUGGAUUUGGUUCGUUUGCAAGACGGCAUUCUGAAUGACCCUUGUUCGACUCAAGGCUGGACCA
Molecule: non-coding RNA, 89 nt
Organism: Mycena rebaudengoi
Lineage: Eukaryota; Fungi; Basidiomycota; Agaricomycetes; Agaricales; Mycenaceae
Source: the annotation of a GenBank genome assembly